AUGUCACCCCCCCACCCCACCCCGUGGGCUCCCGCUGUCCUCCCCAGGCUGAGCUUGGCAGGGUGGGACCGCCGGGGGAUGGACAGACAGAGGGACAGGGGGACACGGACAGGGACACCCAGGGGGACACAGGGACAUGGACAGGGACACCCAGGGGGAUACAGGGACACGGACUGGGACAGGGACACCCAGAGGGACACCCAGAGGAACAGGGGGACAGACAGGGGAACAGAGGGACACCCAGGGGGACACAGGGACACGGACAGGGACACCCAGAGGGACAGAGGGGACACCCAAAGGGACAGGGGGACACGGACAGGAACAGAGGGACACACGCAGGGACAGGAGGACACCCAGAGGGACACGGGGACACCCAGAGGCACAGGGGGACACGGACAGGGACACCCCGGGGACACGGGGACACUCUGCACUCACCGGCGCGCUCCGGCCGCUCCCGGGCUCCGCUCCGAGCUCUUCCCGCUCCUGUUUUCCCCCGGCUCCUUCCCUCGCUUCCUCCUCCUCCUCCUCUUCCUCCUCCUCCUCCUCCUCGCCGCCGGCUCCCGCCUCCCUCAGGGCUUUUCCGCGGGGGCCGGGGCCGCUCUGCUCCGCUCGCUGUGGCGGGGGGGACACGUUACGUUACCGGCGGGGACAGCCCGGCGAGGGGGGGUGGCAGCGGCCCCGGGGCCCCUCCCGGAGCCUUUCCCGCUGCCAUCCCCCCACCCCGGCGCGCUCCGGUGCCGGCCCCGCCCCGGCCGCGGCGGGGGGAGAACGCGCCGUGCCCCCGAGUGCCCCCCCGGGAACCGGGAACGGCGCGGGGGGAGCGGGGCGGGGCGGGGGGAGCGGGCUCGGGGGUGCGCACGGGGAGCGGGGAUCGGUAGGGCCGCGUUUCCCUCGCCGGUACCGGCAUCCUCCAGCCCCGUUACCGGCAGCACUCAGCCCCGGUACAUCCCCGGUGCAUCCCCGGUACAUCCUCGGUACAUCCCCCAUCCCCGGUACCGGCAAUCCCCAGACCCGGUACGGCAGCACUCAGCCCCGGUACCGGCAUCUCCCAUCCCCAGAACCGGCAACUCCCAGCCCCGGUACCGGCAAUCCCCAUCCCCGGUACCGGCAAUCUCCAGCCCCGGUACCGGCAUCUCUCAGCCCCGGUACAUGCCCGGUACAUCCCCUAUCCGCGGUACCGGCAAUCCCCAGCCCCGGUACCGCCAUCCCCCAGCCCCGGUACCGGCAUCUCUCAGCCCCGGUACCGGUACAUCCUCGGUGCAUCCCUCAGCCCGGGUACCGGCAAUCCCCAGCCCCGGUACCGGCCAUCCCCAGCCCCGGUACCGGCAAUCCCCAGCCCCGGUACCGGCAAUCCCCAGCCCCGGUCCCCGCGUCCUCCGGGGCUCCGGGGAUGGAGGGUGCCGGUAUCCGCAGCUUCCAGCCGGGCUCUCCGAAUCUCUCAGCCCCGGCUCCCGAAUUCUCAAUUCCCGGUACCCGAAUCCUCCAUUCCCCGGUCCCGAAUCCUCCAUCCUCGAAUCCUCCAUCCCCGGUUUCCCGCAUCCUCCAGCCCAGGUUCCCGAAUUUUCAAUUCCCGGUUCCCGAAUCCUCCAUCCUCGGUUCCCGCAUCCUCCAGCCCCGCUCCCCGCAUCCCCCUGUGUCUGUCCCCGCCGCUCUCAUCCUCCAUCCCCG
Taeniopygia guttata (zebra finch) is the source of this 1668-nucleotide long non-coding RNA. The record is from Ensembl. Lineage: Eukaryota; Metazoa; Chordata; Aves; Passeriformes; Estrildidae.